GGCGCGGCGAGCCCGACCAGGAGCGCAGGCACUACUGCAAUUUUUUGCCGCAACACGGUGGCCGGAGCCGGCUUGCCUGGUGCCGGCUCCCCCGUGCCGUGGGCGCCCCGUCGCCCUCUGCCUCCCGGCGAGGGAAAGCAGGCGGGGCGCGGGCGCACACGCUCCGCGCACACCCGGCGGCUGGGAGCGGGCACAGCGCGGCGAUGCAGCCCGGCAUCCCUUCCACCCCUCCACAACAAGGAGCCCUCUUCAAUGUGCAACAAAUAACCUAUCACCUGCUCCAGGAAAGCAUCACCCAAGAAAACACUGACAUGUAUGCAUCCCUUCAAUGAGGAUUGGGAUUGUUUAAUCUCUAACUCACUGUUAGAAGCUCAACCCAAGCUUGGCCUAUCCUGCUGUCCCCUGAGACAAUGGAGAGCAUGAAAUCAGAAGACAAACAAAACCACCAACAACAAAACAAACAAACAAACCAACCAACCAACCAACCAAAAACUAAUGGAUGCAGAAUUUAUCUGAAAUAUUGCUACGUAAGACUGCAUGAUCUAAGGUCAAAUGUGAAACCUAGAAGCAACUGCUGUUAUUCUGCCCAACACUCUUGUGCAAGCAGCUCAGUAAACUGAUUUCUUAGGAAAAGGCAUGUAUUUACAAUAAGGAUUCCAUGCCAGAAAACUCUGAUAUUAUUAAAUAUUUCUGAAUUAGGAAAUAAUACUAUAUCCUCCCUGAGUGAAUGGCCUAUGAAAAUAGUACAAAAAUGGCCAUGUAUUGCAGAGGAAUACCAAGUUUAAGAAAAUUUGACCCUGGUUGGAAAUGACGGAGGACAGAAAGAGGUGCUCUAUGAAGGAGAAAAACAUAUCAUGUGACAAGCCUUUUUUCUUUGGUUGCUUCUAGUAACUUAUCUUGUCUACUACAAUGGAGCAGUUGUAGCUCUCUUUCAUGGCAUGAAUGCCAUAACUGUUAGGCUUCAACCUGGUCAGGUUUGAUAGGCAGAGGUCACAUGACAUUAACAGAAUGUGAAUAACUUAUUUAGAAUACUCUAAUAUAAAUUCUCACUGCCCCAAGUUUUUCUCACAUGUCAGACUAACCCUUAUCACUUUCCAGAAUUCCAGAAAUAAAGUUCUUACAUGGAUGAAGAUGGAAGGUAUAACCCUCUUAUCAAGCUACCUGGAAGCAGAAAAGUCUCUUACUUUAUUUCUUAGACAGUUCAAGAAUAAAGCUAUAUGACAAAAGAGAAUAAAGUAAUUUUCAUCCA
Long non-coding RNA from Oxyura jamaicensis (ruddy duck), 1249 nucleotides. RefSeq lists it as uncharacterized. The record is from RefSeq and is a predicted model, not a curated record. The transcript is spliced from 3 exons. NCBI's taxonomy places the organism in Eukaryota, Metazoa, Chordata, Aves, Anseriformes, Anatidae.